Molecule: long non-coding RNA, 1789 nt
Organism: Cucurbita maxima (winter squash)
Lineage: Eukaryota; Viridiplantae; Streptophyta; Magnoliopsida; Cucurbitales; Cucurbitaceae
Exons: 3
Source: RefSeq, a predicted model, not a curated record
GAAAGUUGUUAUCCGAUCAAGCCAAACCGCCCCUAAAUUUCUAAUCCAACGGCUGAGAUUUAAACUUAACGCGUGCUAGAGGCUGUGGGGCCGUCAAAAUCCCGGCAAAUUAUCCUCAGUCCUCGGACCUUUUAUUGAAGUAAUUAUCCUUUUACUCGGUUUCGAUGGAAGCGGGAAUUCUCUUCCCCGCCACUCUCAUUCCAUGGAGUCCCAAUUUCAACAUCGUAAGGGCUUCUUCUUCUUCUUCCUCCCUUUUGCGCACUUACGUCGGUGGAGUUUCUCUCUUAGUCGUCCUCUAUAAUAAUCGCGCCGUUUCUGGAUUGCUCCGUCGCCGAUGCCAGCAGGUUCAUCGGUAAAUUUUAAAAUAAUGGUAUGGAAGUAUCUGUUAGAGGUGGCAUGCUGCAGGUUUUUGAUUGUUGGUUAUGAUGAGAUGUGUAUGUUUCAAGUUGGUUUUGCUGCGGGUGAUGGUGAGGACGAACAUGUGGAACCUAGUAAAUUGAUGCAGGGAUUGCUCUAUCAAGGAAUUCUCAAAUCUCAAGCUCGUGAGUAGUAAAUGAUCUGUGUACAGAGAUCAGCACACAAUGUACUACUUGAUUGUUGUGCAAUUGGAAGUCGGAGCUGCCAUUUCUUACUUCAAAUACUCAGGUACAUUGCUUAAUACUAUUCAGGUUGUUGUUAGAUUUGUUCCUUUUUCCUUUUUCUUUUAUUUUUUUGGUAUAUAUAUAAGGCAGAUAGUUUUCUACAGUGGCUUCAUUCUUGGGUAUUUGUCACUCUAUAUGUGGUAAACCUAUAAACUACCGAACUUGUUUUUGUCUCUCAAUGUUUAACUUAUUGUGGUUGGUGUGCAAAUGAACCUCGAGUUUGAAGCAUCAUUUGGUGCACUUGAUGAAUAAUUUGGUUGUUUGCAUGUGUAGUUAGUCCUCACAUUCACUUUCAGAAACUUGGGAGUCUUCUCCAUCUCUGCUGGCUUAAAAGAGUCUCUCCUUGUAUAUAGUAUCUACUUGUUCUCUGAAGCCAGACUCUGCUAUUCUACUUAUCUGUUUGCUUAAAGCCCCGUUCGAAUGAAUUAGAACUGUAGUUCAACCUUUUGGUUUUCUUAAAGCCCCCUCUUUUGAAUGAAUAGAACUGUAGUUCUACCUUUCUGUAGUUGCUCGAUUGCACAUAUUGUCUGUCAACUGAUGGUGACGACCUUUUCCUCUUUCUUUCUAUGGCAUAAUUAUUAUUCCCAGCUUCAAAUUUGAAAUGUUCACUGUCAUGGAUUUCAAUCGUUGAGAGAAGCUGGAUGCUACUCUGUUGAAGUAUUUGAAUAAUUUUGAACCGCGGUAAAAUUGAGCUCAAAGUGAACGGAACUGUUGAUGGACAAACAUAACUUGGUUAUUUGAUUGUUCAUUUUAUUUAUUUCCAAUAUUUCCAUGGGCGAAAAGAGAUAAUAUUGAAGCCCCUGUAAAAGCCAGACGAAGCAACUCAACUAAGUAGUUGAUUUCUAUGUAUGUUCCAUAUAUACAAAAGCUUCUCCUUUUCUUUCAACCAUCAACUCUAGAUGUAUUCACUGAUUGAAGGUAAUGUCUGGUUCGCUUACUUUUAUCCAUUUUCUGUCUGUGGUAAUGCUGAGUGCAUUCUUACAUGUGUGUACAACCGACAUAGCAGACAGCAGAUGAUUUAUUCAAAUUUGAAGUAUGAAUCAGAAAGAAUUUCAUUCCAGCAACUGAAAGUGUAAGUUAAAAACAUGUGACUAAAUCAUAGCAUGUCGAUGGAGUAAAAAAAUAAUCAGACAAACAUUCUAUUUGUA